GCUUGCUCUCGGGUGACGAGCGGCGGACGGGUGAGUAAUGUCUGGGAAACUGCCUGAUGGAGGGGGAUAACUACUGGAAACGGUAGCUAAUACCGCAUAACGUCGCAAGACCAAAGUGGGGGACCUUCGGGCCUCAUGCCAUCAGAUGUGCCCAGAUGGGAUUAGCUAGUAGGUGGGGUAACGGCUCACCUAGGCGACGAUCCCUAGCUGGUCUGAGAGGAUGACCAGCCACACUGGAACUGAGACACGGUCCAGACUCCUACGGGAGGCAGCAGUGGGGAAUAUUGCACAAUGGGCGCAAGCCUGAUGCAGCCAUGCCGCGUGUGUGAAGAAGGCCUUCGGGUUGUAAAGCACUUUCAGCGGGGAGGAAGGCGGUAAGGUUAAUAACCUUGUCGAUUGACGUUACCCGCAGAAGAAGCACCGGCUAACUCCGUGCCAGCAGCCGCGGUAAUACGGAGGGUGCAAGCGUUAAUCGGAAUUACUGGGCGUAAAGCGCACGCAGGCGGUCUGUCAAGUCGGAUGUGAAAUCCCCGGGCUCAACCUGGGAACUGCAUUCGAAACUGGCAGGCUAGAGUCUUGUAGAGGGGGGUAGAAUUCCAGGUGUAGCGGUGAAAUGCGUAGAGAUCUGGAGGAAUACCGGUGGCGAAGGCGGCCCCCUGGACAAAGACUGACGCUCAGGUGCGAAAGCGUGGGGAGCAAACAGGAUUAGAUACCCUGGUAGUCCACGCCGUAAACGAUGUCGAUUUGGAGGUUGUGCCCUUGAGGCGUGGCUUCCGGAGCUAACGCGUUAAAUCGACCGCCUGGGGAGUACGGCCGCAAGGUUAAAACUCAAAUGAAUUGACGGGGGCCCGCACAAGCGGUGGAGCAUGUGGUUUAAUUCGAUGCAACGCGAAGAACCUUACCUGGUCUUGACAUCCACAGAACUUUCCAGAGAUGGAUUGGUGCCUUCGGGAACUGUGAGACAGGUGCUGCAUGGCUGUCGUCAGCUCGUGUUGUGAAAUGUUGGGUUAAGUCCCGCAACGAGCGCAACCCUUAUCCUUUGUUGCCAGCGGUUCGGCCGGGAACUCAAAGGAGACUGCCAGUGAUAAACUGGAGGAAGGUGGGGAUGACGUCAAGUCAUCAUGGCCCUUACGACCAGGGCUACACACGUGCUACAAUGGCAUAUACAAAGAGAAGCGACCUCGCGAGAGCAAGCGGACCUCAUAAAGUAUGUCGUAGUCCGGAUUGGAGUCUGCAACUCGACUCCAUGAAGUCGGAAUCGCUAGUAAUCGUAGAUCAGAAUGCUACGGUGAAUACGUUCCCGGGCCUUGUACACACCGCCCGUCACACCAUGGGAGUGGGUUGCAAAAGAAGU
This 1354-nucleotide ribosomal RNA is filed under the name bacterium JNCZJb F3. RNAcentral describes it as "bacterial SSU rRNA". It matches the Rfam family "Bacterial small subunit ribosomal RNA", at positions 74 to 1427 of the family's 1533-position model. The record is from RNAcentral.